AGUGGAUGGGGAGCAACCUAGUUGUGCGUGUGUAAAGGUAGUGCCAAGAAAAGCGAUGAUCAUGUUGAAAAUCAAUUCCCGGUACCCGAAACCGACACAGGUGGGCAAGUAGAGAAUACUAAGGGGCGCGAGGUAACUCUCUCCAAGGAACUCGGCAAAAUGACCCCGUAACUUAGGGAGAAGGGGUGCCACCGAGAGGUGGUCGCAGUGAAGAGGCCCAGGCGACUGUUUAGCAAAAACAUAGGUCUCUGCAAACUCGAAAGAGGAGGUAUAGGGGCUGACGCCUGCCCAGUGCCGGAAGGUUAAAGAAGUUGGUCAGUUUUAGGAUGAAGCUAGCGACUGAAGCCCCGGUGAACGGCGGCCGUAACUAUAACGGUCCUAAGGUAGCGAAAUUCCUUGUCGGGUAAGUUCCGACCCGCACGAAAGGCGUAACGAUCUGGGCGCUGUCUCGGAGAGAGGCUCGGCGAAAUAGGAUUGUCUGUGAAGAUACGGACUACCUGCAUUUGGACAGAAAGACCCUAUGAAGCUUUACUACAGCUUGGAAUUGUGUUCGGGCUUCCUGUGCGCAGGAUAGGUGGGAGGCGUAGAAGGUAUUCUUGUGGGGAUACUGGAGCCAACGGUGAGAUACCACUCUCAGGAGGCUAGAAUUCUAACUUAAUUAAGGACAGUUUCAGGUGGGUAGUUUGACUGGGGCGGUCGCCUCCAAAAAGGUAACGGAGGCGUACAAAGGUUCCCUCAGACUGGUUGGAAAUCAGUCGAAGAGUGCAAAGGCAGGAGGGAGCUUGACUGCGAGAAGUACAGUUCGAGCAGGGUGGAAACACGGUCUUAGUGAUCCGACGGUGCUGUGUGGAAGGGCCGUCGCUCAACGGAUAAAAGUUACUCUAGGAUAACAGGCUGAUCUCCCCCAAGAGUUCACAUCGACGGGGAGGUUUGGCACCUCGAUGUCGGCUCAUCGCAACCUGGGGCGGAAGUACGUCCCAAGGGUUGGGCUGUUCGCCCAUUAAAGCGGUACGUGAGCUGGGUUCAGAACGUCGUGAGACAGUUCGGUCCAUAUCCGAUGUAGGUGUGAGAAUAUUGAGAGGAGCCUUCCUUAGUACGAGAGGACCGGGAAGGACGCACCGCUGGUGUACCUGUUAUGAUGCCAAUUGUAAACGCAGGGUAGCCAAGUGCGGAGAGGAUAACCGCUGAAAGCAUCUAAGUGGGAAGCCCACCUCAAGAUGAGUAUUCUGGUGUAAGGUCACGGGAAGACGACCCGUAAAUAGGCACGAGGUGGAAGUGCAGAGAUGUAUGAAGCCGAAGUGUACUAAUAGACCGUCGGCUUGACCU
Molecule: ribosomal RNA, 1326 nt
Filed under: metagenome
Description: bacterial LSU rRNA
Rfam family: Bacterial large subunit ribosomal RNA
Source: RNAcentral